CCUACGGGAGGCAGCAGUGAGGAAUAUUGGUCAAUGGACGAGAGUCUGAACCAGCCAAGUAGCGUGAAGGAUGACUGCCCUCUGGGUUGUAAACUUCUUUUAUAUGGGAGUAAAAUGUUCCACGUGUGGGAUUUUGUAUGUACCAUAUGAAUAAGGAUCGGCUAACUCCGUGCCAGCAGCCGCGGUAAUACGGAGGAUCCGAGCGUUAUCCGGAUUUAGUGGGUUUAAAGGGAGCGUAGGUGGAUGGUUAAGUCAGGUGUGAAAGUUUGCGGCUCAACCGUAAAAGUGCAGUUGAAGCUGGCAGUCUUGAGUACAGUAGAGGUGGGCGGAAUUCGUGGUGUAGCGGUGAAAUGCGUAGAUAUUACGAAGAACUCCGAUUGCGAAGGCAGCUCACUGGACUGCAACUGACACUGAGGCUCGAAAGUGUGGGUAUCAAACAGGAUUAGAUACCCGGGUAGUC
RNAcentral lists this ribosomal RNA (460 nucleotides) under uncultured bacterium. RNAcentral's name for it is "partial 16S ribosomal RNA". It matches the Rfam family "Bacterial small subunit ribosomal RNA", at positions 338 to 795 of the family's 1533-position model. The record is from RNAcentral.